Molecule: long non-coding RNA, 1393 nt
Filed under: Homo sapiens (human)
Lineage: Eukaryota; Metazoa; Chordata; Mammalia; Primates; Hominidae
Description: prostate cancer associated transcript 1
Source: RNAcentral
CUCUUUUCCAAAGGGCCCAGGAAUCCCAGAUGGGGCCCAGACAGUGGCAAAAGAGGGAGGAAGAGAGGGAGAAAGGGAGCAGCGGCUGCUACUGCAAACAGUUCCCCUUCGCAGCUCUGCGCUCAGCUCGCCCAUCAGUGUGCCACUGCCUCUCCGUCCUCCUCCUCGGAGCUGGGCGCAGGGGGGCGCCCGGGAGGCGGCGUAGUCCGCGCCACGUUGCUGUCGCCCUCCUCCGGCUCCGCCGGGUGCAGGUGCGUGGCGAGCUCCUGCAGCACGGCCGCGCGCCCGAUCUGGUCGUUGCGUCGCUUCUCCAUGAUCAGGUCCUCUAGACUCUGGAACUCGAGCGUGUGGCUGCGCUGCGCCGACAGCUGAAUCUGCAGCCGGUAGGGCUGCUUGCCGAUGCGCAGCUCGCCGCCGAUCUUGAACUCGCGCUUGCCGUAGCGGCACCAGGCGGCGAAACUCUCCGAGUUGCGCCAGCUCAGCUCGCGCUCCUUGGCACCCACGUGCGCCAGCGCGUUGCGCACCACGGCGCUGGAGCUUAGCGGCUUGUAGCGGUACAGAUCGUUGACCACGCGGCCGCGACGGCCCUGGCUGGCGUCAGUCAGGAAGCUGUUAAUCACCUCCAGCCGGUGCAGGUGCACCACCUGGAAGUUACCCACAUAUACGGCCCAGUGCGGGUACUGAGCCUGCGACACGAACUCCACCAGAUCGCCCGGCUUGCACUUGUUGAGCAGGUUCUCGGGCGUGUAGGUACUCAGCGCCGCCGAGCCCGGCGCGAAGCUCUUCUGGUAGAUGCAUUCGUCCCGGUAGAACACGGAGCAUUCCACCUCGUGCAGCCGCGGAUCGUAGGGCUGCGGCUGGGGCGGCGGCUGCGGCUCCACGUCCUCAUCGUCAUUGGAGAAAAUGUAGGAGACCCCAAUGCGGGGCCCGUCGUCCCGGUCCACGCCAGUCGGGUCGGCCGUGGGAACUUCCUUGUAACUUAGGUGGGUCAAUUUCUCCACCUGGUUGCCCAUCACGCUGCGGACACACGUUCACACCGCCGCAAGGGGAGAAAGCGAAACCAACUCCAGGGUCAUUUGCACAGGUCCCCGGACAGGGGCUGAGGCUACCUGUUGGGAGAGGAAGGCAAGAAAGCCAUGCAGGAGCCCCUCCGUGAAAAGGGCGUUUUGUUCCGAAAAAGAAUCGGUGGGGGCUCAGCACCUGGAGCCAUUUUAGGGGGAAGUCUCGGGUGUAGCGAGCUUUCCCUCGUUUCUCCACCUGUAAGGUCACGGUCACAGGAGACUGGGCAACUCCUGUUCUCCCUGUCCCCAGCCCUUCGCCUGGCCCUGGCAAAAGCCCAUUGCAUCAGCAGCUUCUACUGCUUCCGCCUGCGCCCUACCUGCCAAGCUUGGGC